CCUACGGGCGGCAGCAGUGGGGAAUAUUGCACAAUGGGGGAAACCCUGAUGCAGCGACGCCGCGUGAGUGAAGAAGUAUUUCGGUACGUAAAGCUCUAUCAGCAGGGAAGAAAAUGACGGUACCUGACUAAGAAGCCCCGGCUAACUACGUGCCAGCAGCCGCGGUAAUACGUAGGGGGCAAGCGUUAUCCGGAUUUACUGGGUGUAAAGGGAGCGUAGACGGCAGCGCAAGUCUGGAGUGAAAUCCCAUGGCUGAACCAGGGAACUGCUUUGGAAACUGUGCAGCUAGAGUGCAGGAGAGGUAAGCGGAAUUCCUAGUGUAGCGGUGAAAUGCGUAGAUAUUAGGAGGAACACCAGUGGCGAAGGCGGCUUACUGGACUGUAACUGACGUUGAGGCUCGAAAGCGUGGGGAGCAAACAGGAUUAGAUACCCUGGUAGUC
This 440-nucleotide ribosomal RNA is filed under the name uncultured bacterium. Its description in RNAcentral is "partial 16S ribosomal RNA". It matches the Rfam family "Bacterial small subunit ribosomal RNA", at positions 338 to 795 of the family's 1533-position model. The record is from RNAcentral.